RNAcentral lists this ribosomal RNA (1369 nucleotides) under uncultured bacterium. Its description in RNAcentral is "bacterial SSU rRNA". It matches the Rfam family "Bacterial small subunit ribosomal RNA", at positions 47 to 1401 of the family's 1533-position model. The record is from RNAcentral.
CUCAACACACGCAAGUUCGAAACGGUAAGGCCCCUUUUUUCGGGGCGUCACGAGCGGCGAAACGGGCGAGUAAACACGCGAGUCACCCGCUCCAGACUUUCGGGAUAAACAGUUCGGAAAACGAAUUCGCUAAUACCGGAUAUGAGCCGCCGCCGCACGGUCGGCGGUUUCGGAAGUUCCGGCGGUUUCGGGAUCGGGCUCGCGGCCUAUCAGCUUCGUUGGUGAGGUGAUGGCUUACCAAGGCUUCGACGGGUAGCCGGCCUGAGAGGGCGACCGGCCACAUUGGGACUGAGAUACGGCCCAAACUCCUACGGGAGGCAGCAGUGGGGAAUAUUGCACAAUGGACGGAAGUCUGAUGCAGCAACGCCGCGUGCGGGAUGACGGCCUUCGGGUUUGUAAACCGCUUUCAUCCAUGACGAAGCUUUUGUGACGGUAGUGGGUAAAGAAGCACCGGCUAACUACGUGCCAGCAGCCGCGGUGAUACGUAGGGUGCGAGCGUUGUCCGGAUUUAUUGGGCGUAAAGAGCUUGUAGGCGGUUUGUCGCGUCGGGAGUGAAAACUCGGAGCUUAACUUUGAGCUUGCUUUCGAUACGGGCUGACUUGAGGGAGGUAGGGGAGAAUGGAAUUCCUGGUGGAGCGGUGGAAUGCGCAGAUAUCAGGAGGAACACCGGUGGCGAAGGCGGUUCUCUGGACCUUUCCUGACGCUGAGAAGCGAAAGCGUGGGGAGCGAACAGGCUUAGAUACCCUGGUAGUCCACGCCGUAAACGGUGGGUACUAGGUGUGGGGGACAUUCCACGUUCUCCGUGCCGUAGCUAACGCAUUAAGUACCCCGCCUGGGGGAGUACGGCCGCAAGGCUAAAACUCAAAGGAAUUGACGGGGCCCCGCACAAGCGGCGGAGCAUGCGGAUUAAUUCGAUGCAACGCGAAGAACCUUACCUGGGUUUGACAUAUGCCGGGAGCGUUCAGAGAUGGGCGUGCCUUUUUGGUCGGUUUACAGGUGGUGCAUGGCUGUCGUCAGCUCGUGUCGUGAGAUGUUGGGUUAAGUCCCGCAACGAGCGCAACCCUCGUCCAAUGUUGCCAGCGGGUUAUGCCGGGGACUCAUUGGAGACCGCCGGGGUCAACUCGGAGGAAGGUGGGGAUGACGUCAAGUCAUCAUGCCCCUUAUGUCCAGGGCUUCACGCAUGCUACAAUGGCCGGUACAAAAGAGCUGCGAGCCUGUGAGGGUGAGCGAAUCUCGGAAAGCCGGUCUCAGUUCGGAUUGGGGUUCUGCAAACUCGACCCCAUGAAGUCGGAGUCGCUAGUAAUCGCAGAAUCAGCAACGCUGCGGUGAAAUACGUUUCCACGGGGGCUUGUACACACCGCCCGUCAAG